CUCGACCAAUCACAAUGAAGGAGACACACCUGCUUGGUGCUUGGUGCAAGGUGAUUGGUUACAUUACAGAAAGACAUUGGGGUAGGGCUUGUAGGUGUACAUGUAAACCAAGCCCUUUACAAACUCAGACUCUUUGCAUUAAGAGCUUAACCAGGUAACAUCACCACCGCGCUGUGGCCUGUCAACGGCGGACAUCAACGAAUGGACAUCACCUCUGGUAUCUGCCUUUCUGCUUCCCCACUGCAUCAACUGAUCUCCUGAAUCUCUGAAGCUUCUUUUUUUCUGACCCCGGCAUGCAAGAAAUAAUUUGUCCUUCGACAAAAGGAGGAAAGAGGCCUCUAGUCCUGGUCUGUCUACACGCUGCCUGGCUGAAGACUGGCAGGGAGCUGAGCGUAUCUCUGGGUUUUUCCUUUCAUGGCGCCUUGAAUGACCAGAAUCAGACUGGAUGUGGUUCUCUCUCGCUUGGGCUCCAGGGAGAAAUUUGAGAAAAGUUCCCCCCUUUUUUCCUUUCUCCCUCCAGAACCUUUUUUUUUUUUACAUUCUUCCUUUACCACUCUAUUCACAACGGUAAGAUUACAGGUGCUGCUGUUUGAUUUCCUUCUCAGUCCCCUCCCCUUUUGUCCCCCCUCUUCCAACCUGCUCCCUUGCUAAUCCCACAACAUUUGCAUCAUGUUUGCUUUACUUUUUUCAAAGCAAAACCAUCUCUUUAUGCUUGUUCUAACAGCAAUGGAGACUAUAUUUUCAGCUUGAAGGAACAAAUUAAAACACAUAUUUUCAUCACAUAGACAAAUAAAUCAAACCUGAAAUAACUUGAUUUUAAACAACAGCAUGUUUAAAAAAAACUACAAAGGCCACAAGUGCCUAGUUUGCUGAAAGCAAUGGGACAGCCUUAAAAACUUACAAUUUCUGACGAAGUACAUUGUAACUUACCUAUUUCAAUAUAUUAAGUCAAAUAUAAACAACUAACGGUAAAAUUUUACACAGAUAAACCCCUAUACGGAUUCUAUAUGUAGCCGAGAUUCUGUGUAUAAAAUUAAACUGAAAGGGG
Esox lucius (northern pike) is the source of this 1048-nucleotide long non-coding RNA. The record is from Ensembl. Lineage: Eukaryota; Metazoa; Chordata; Actinopteri; Esociformes; Esocidae.